Molecule: ribosomal RNA, 253 nt
Filed under: uncultured bacterium
Lineage: Bacteria
Description: partial 16S ribosomal RNA
Rfam family: Bacterial small subunit ribosomal RNA
Source: RNAcentral
UACGUAGGGACCAAGCGUUGUUCGGAUUUACUGGGCGUAAAGGGCGCGUAGGCGGCGCGGUAAGUCACUUGUGAAAUCUCUGAGCUUAACUCAGAACGGCCAAGUGAUACUGCAGUGCUAGAGUGUGGAAGGGGCAAUCGGAAUUCUUGGUGUAGCGGUGAAAUGCGUAGAUAUCAAGAGGAACACCGGUGGCGAAGGCGGGACGCUGGGCAGAUACUGACGCUGAGGAGCGAAAGCGUGGGGAGCAAACAGG